Molecule: ribosomal RNA, 253 nt
Filed under: uncultured bacterium
Lineage: Bacteria
Description: partial 16S ribosomal RNA
Rfam family: Bacterial small subunit ribosomal RNA
Source: RNAcentral
UACGUAGGGUGCGAGCGUUGUCCGGAAUUACUGGGCGUAAAGAGCUCGUAGGUGGUUUGUCGCGUUGUCCGUGAAAACUCACAACUCAAUUGUGGGCGUGCGGGCGAUACGGGCAGACUGGAGUACUGCAGGGGAGACUGGAAUCCCUGGUGUAGCGGUGGAAUGCGCAGAUAUCAGGAGGAACACCGGUGGCGAAGGCGGGUCUCUGGGCAGUAACUGACGCUGAGGAGCGAAAGCGUGGGGAGCGAACAGG